This is a long non-coding RNA of Zingiber officinale, 564 nucleotides long. RefSeq lists it as uncharacterized. The transcript has 3 exons. The record is from RefSeq and is a predicted model, not a curated record. Lineage: Eukaryota; Viridiplantae; Streptophyta; Magnoliopsida; Zingiberales; Zingiberaceae.
CCUCUCUUAGCUGAUCUCCCCGAUUUCCUUCUCCCCUCUCUUCUUCCCGAUCACUCUCUGUUCCUCGCAAACAACUCGACGCCGACGGGGCUUGCAAUCGUCUUCACCGCCUGAGGAGGAGGUCGCCGGAACCUUACUAGAGGUCGAACAAGGAGGCGGAUCCUCCUGAUCUCCUGUUCUCAGGUCUUCCCCGAGCCUUUCCUUCCCCGAUCCUUCCUCUCAGUUUUGUCGAUCCUUUCUUCCCCGAUUCGAUCGCUGGCUUGAAGAUGCCCUAGGGUUUCGAAGGUCACGGAUUUGGAGAGGUUGGAAUCAGGGAGGUGUUGUUGGAUUAGGGGAAGGAAUCAGAUCAGACUCGUGCUAGGUUUUCCCUUGAUCGGAUCAGUGGACCUCCACCUCCUUGCUGUAGAUUGAGGUCUCGAAUUGAAGGUUAGGUACUGUGGGGUUUUGGUUGGUGGUCAGUAAUUGCAUCCGGGCAGAAAGGUAGAUUCUAGCAGCUCAUUCGACAGGACCUCUUUCCGGCAGCCCUCUUGUUGACUGAGCUUGAGGUAUUGUGUAUUGAUUGAU